UUGUGGGAACCUUCCACGGUUUCUGCGACGCAGCUAACGCAUUAAGUGCCCCGCCUGGGGAGUACGAUCGCAAGAUUAAAACUCAAAGGAAUUGACGGGGCCCCGCACAAGCAGCGGAGCAUGCGGCUUAAUUCGACGCAACGCGAAGAACCUUACCAAGGCUUGACAUAUACAGGAAUAUGGCAGAAAUUCCAUAGCCGCAAGGUCUGUAUACAGGUGGUGCAUGGUUGUCGUCAGCUCGUGUCGUGAGAUGUUGGGUUAAGUCCCGCAACGAGCGCAACCCUCGUUCUGUGUUGCCAGCAUUUAGUUGGGGACUCACAGGAGACUGCCGGGGUUAACUCGGAGGAAGGUGGGGAUGACGUCAAAUCGUCAUGCCCCUUAUGUCUUGGGCUGCACGCAUGCUACAAUGGCUGGUACAAACGGCUGCGAUACCGCAAGGUGGAGCGAAUCCGAUAAAGCCAGUCUCAGUUCGGAUUGGGGUCUGCAACUCGACCCCAUGAAGUCGGAGUUGCUAGUAAUCGUAGAUCAGCAACGCUACGGUGAAUACGUUCCCGGGGCUUGUACACACCGCCCGUCACGUCACGAAAGUCGGUAACACCCGAAGUCAGUGGCCCAACCGUAAGGG
Molecule: ribosomal RNA, 625 nt
Filed under: uncultured Actinomycetes bacterium
Lineage: Bacteria; Bacillati; Actinomycetota; Actinomycetes
Description: bacterial SSU rRNA
Rfam family: Bacterial small subunit ribosomal RNA
Source: RNAcentral